Molecule: long non-coding RNA, 1158 nt
Organism: Gallus gallus (chicken)
Lineage: Eukaryota; Metazoa; Chordata; Aves; Galliformes; Phasianidae
Exons: 4
Source: RefSeq, a predicted model, not a curated record
GGGCCUGGGCCUGGGCCUGGGCCUGCUACUGCUGCCUGGGCCUGGGCCUGGGUCUGGGCCUGUGGCUGCUGCCUGGGCCUGGGCCUGCUGCUGCUGUCCAGGCCUGCUGCUGCUGCCUGACUGGAGCCCCAGAGCUCUCUCCUACACUAAGCUAAGCUGGGCUGUGUUUCAGGCUGAGCUUUGGAACUUAGAAAUGCAACUUUGGUGAGCACUCUCUGAGCCCCAGCACAGGUGUCUGUCUCCAUGGUGGACGUGGAACUUCCAGUACCCAACAUGGAGGUACCUCCUUCACCUCAGAUGAUCCAUUCAUAGAAUUGUCAUCAGAAAUCCAGGAAGAAAACUCCAAUGUGGUGUUAGAAAACAGCAUUCCUUUAUUCAUCACGAUACCAGGAGACCUUCUGAGCCUGGGGCACCCCAGCACCCAAUGCACUUCAUUACAGUGGUGAAGAUGGAGCUGCCAGUCAACCUCUUUGCAGCUCAGGAGCAGCAGAGAAAGUUUCCUAACCCUAAAGGCAUCAGAGCUCUGCAGAGGCUGAAAUUCUUCAUGUAAGGCAGAAAUGCGUUCAUAGGAGCGAUCCAUUCAACUUCAUCAGCCUUGGGAAACCUUUUACAAGGAAGGAGAGAUGAAAACUCUGGCCUGGGUAGCUGAGAAAAUGCAAUGAAAUUGGGUUUUCCUAUUGCAUCUCCUCCAGUGCAGCUGAGCUGGGGGCUCCAGAGAUCCCACCUGUACCCAGCAGCAAUGCAGGCACUUCCCAUGCACUCAGCAUUGGGUGGCUGCUUGGAAGGGUUUCAGAUCCAACAUCUGCACAGGACAACACUGGUCGCACUGUAGGCUUGGUCCACAAGAACCCGAGCAUGGGAAUUUCUCUGCUGGUCUGGAGCUGUUGUCCUGAGCUGUUAGCCCACCCUGCCGCAUUGCUCCUGCUGAAACUGAGCUCACCUGGAGUGCAGGAGGGCCGGGGAGGUUUGCGCUGCAGCAAAUACGUUGUGUCUGCUCAGUCCUGGUGGCAAUCAAUCACAUCAUGCCCCCUCUUUAUUUUCUUGGAAGUUCAGAGCAAGAAACAAAACAACAUUUACUUUAGUAGUUGCAACAGUUUCCUUUUGUUUUUGCUUCACUGACCGGAGCAGCUGGUUUUCAAAACUUUUUUUUCAGGAAAA